This is a long non-coding RNA of Mirounga angustirostris (Northern elephant seal), 4614 nucleotides long. RefSeq lists it as uncharacterized. Lineage: Eukaryota; Metazoa; Chordata; Mammalia; Carnivora; Phocidae. The record is from RefSeq and is a predicted model, not a curated record. The transcript is spliced from 2 exons.
CUGGGCAGCGGGCCCAAGAGAGGCCCCCUCCCUUCUGGGGGCUGCUGUGGGCAGGGCAGCGAGCUGCGUGGCAGUUAGAGAAAACUGGCUGAGGAGGCUGCCAAAACCAGGCCCAGACCACAGAGGAGCAAUCAGUCAAAGCAGGCCUUGGGCAGGCUUCCCGGGCUCCCGCCUCCGUCCAGGCUGGCCGCUGCACACUGAUAAGUGGCUCUUUUGAAAUGAAAAAAAAAGUUGUAAUUACAAGUCUAAGCGGCCGCUCAAUGGCAGGGUCUCUGUCCCACAGGACACGGCAGGAGGAAAGUGAAGGAAGCCCAGGCAUGUGGUCCCACGCAGCGCCUUGAUGGAGCCCUGGGCGGUCUCCCUCUCUGCCAGAAGCGGCCGCAGUCCCCCUGGAGGGCGGCCCCCUGCCCUGGGCCCCCCUCCACCCGCUGCAGGCCCCCGGCCCCCCACAGGGCCACGGGCGCUAAGCAGGUGGGCAGCAGACCAGCCAAGUGCGGGCGCGCACACACCAGCCCCCCAGCCUGAGAGCAGGAACCGCUGGCCCCGUUCCCGCAGUUCCCCAAGGGGUCCUGCUUCUCACGGCCCUGAUGCCCUGCUCUUCUGCUGACAGUUCCGACUCCCCCCAGCUUCCCACAGGUUCUUACUGGAGUCUGGUCUGUGCCCUCUCAGACCUGCGCUCUUUCCACUCUGCCGACCAUGGCUUCAGGAGGAGAACGGUGACCCCAAACACCUUGGCGAAGGCUGGAGCAGCCACCGUGCCUUCGAAGAUGCAUCUUCUGGGCUGUGACACCGUCACUUCUCUCGCCAUCAGGCCACCGUUUCCUUUCCUCAAAAUCAGAAGGCAGCCCAGAAUCCUGUGACUUCUAUUUAGCAAAUCCCAUAAGUAAAAUGCUAUCGCUGGGUGGUUCAGAUGUAAACACUGGACGAUGGGAAGAUGUUUAUGAUUCACGAUUACAUGAAAAAGAGAGGAGAAAGAACUAUACUUAGGGUACAAUGAAAACUGCCCCCUAACCGAAAAAAAGCCCUACAUAGAGAUAGUAUGGAAGAAAAUAUUUUGAUUGGAAUGACUCUAAGUGAUUUUUCCUCACUUUUGUGUAUUUUUAAAGUUUUCUUUAAUGAGUAUAAUUCUAAAACAAACAAAAAUGAUAGCAUCCUUCCUGAGUCCUGGCCCUAACAGCUACAGAGAGGGGUACAGCGUGGAGAAACGAAACGCUUCCUCCUCAUUUCCUUAGAAGCAGGCUGACAACAGAAGGGUCCGGGCCCCAUUCCCAGGAACAGCUGCAGAGCAGAGAAUUGUGAAGCAUUCCCUCACAACCACCUGGGAAUGGAGUCGGCCCUGUUCUCAGGCUUGUUUUGCAGAUGAGGAAACUAGGCUUGGAGAAGCUCCAUAACCAGCCAGAGUCAACAGCAAGCGAGGGAUGGAGCUCAGUGCUCCCAUUUCCACCCGCCAGCUGGCAGGACCACAGGGGCCUCAUGUGAUCUUCCUAAGUCCUGCCUGUCCAUCCCCCAUCCUCCUGCAGGGGUGGAGUUCGUGGUGCCCAGGACUGGGUUUUACUGCAAGCUGUGCGGGCUGUUCUACACGAGCGAGGAGAUGGCGAAGAUAAGCCACUGUCGCAGUGCUGUCCACUACAGGAACUUACAGAAGUACUUGUCCCAGCUGGCCGAGGAGGGCCUGAAGGAGACCGAGGGGGCCGGCAGCCCCAGGCCUGAGGAGGGCAGAGUCGUGCUGCACUUUGAGAGGAAGAAGCCUUGAUGCUGCUGGAACCGAGGUGGGGCCUUCCUGACCUCGGUGACGGAAGCUAAAGCCAGAGAGGAAGGAAAGCCAGGCCAGCGUGUUGCCUCGGCUCGUCCUCGGAGACUUGUGAAAAUGCCCUUCAAUUGUCUCCUCAGUGAAGCUGUCACCUGAUGUGUCCAGCAGCUGAGGGUCACCCUCUCUCCCCCCACCUCCCUGAUUCUUGUUUCCUUCAAUCUGCUUCUCUCUUCUUCCCCCUCCCUCCCUCUCUCUCACCUCCUGUGCCAAGGGUCAUUUAUUUUUCAUAAAAUCCAACUUCUCAGGGAUUUUCACGGUGUUCAAAUUCUUGAUGGGACAGGACAGGUCAGGCCAAGGAAGAGCUCUCACGGAAACUCCCGGGUCAAGACCCACUUUGGGGGGCCUGGAGCGUUUUCUGUGCCUGGCGUCCUGAGCCGGGGGAGUUGUCGGGUCGUGCAGGCCUGAAGGGGGUGCCCCCUAGACCAGCAGUUGGCAGAAGCUGGGAGUUCCUCCAGCGGGACCAUCUUUUUGAAAAGCCCCCGUUUCUAAUAACUCUUUCAACCUCUCAGUUCCUCUAGAAGUCCACCAGAUGCAUGCCUUAACAUAAAAGCAAUGACUUUCACCGAGGAGGAAACGAGCUCUUCAUUUUGGAAGCUCUAUUAAGUCCUCCCCGCCCCCCAAACUUAUUUCCAUCCUCAGGAUUUCAGGAGGUGCCAAGCUUUGUUCUGUUCUGGACAAUGAAUUUGGUAUAGAUUCACUUCAAUUAAAAAUGAAAACAGUAGUGUCUUCUCCCUUCCGCCAGAACAAUAGUUGGUACGGGCUUGGGUCGAAUGCUGGCUUCCCAGCCCCGUGUGGCACUGGCUCAAGAGACCCCAAAACAGGGCAAUGGCAUCUGUCCUCGACUCGCUCCUGGUGCCUGCGCUCUGGGCUCCAGCAGCCUCUCAGUGGGAUAGUUUUUAAACUGGUCUCUCAGUGGAGAGAGAAACUAAGGGAAGAGCAAGGCUGCAGGAGUGAGGAGCAGCAUUUGAGGAUUGCCAGGAAUUGGUAGGUGGGCAGGAGGUCGAGGGCAUUUCAGAGGACCCCUGUGUGCACACCUGGGUGUUGAAUGUCAUGAAGAACAGAACUCUUCUUCCUGUAGCGUUUUCUGAUACUGGAGGUGAGUGCCUUCAGGCCCCAGACUAGAGAGUCUGAUGUUCCCCUGGGAGCGUUUGGGACAGAGGUGCUGGGGGGACAUGAGGCUUGCUCACAGCCCCGAGGAAGACCUCAAGAAGGUCAGAGGGGAGCCUUGUGCUGUUUCCACAAGCUGAGCUACUUCCCUGGCUCAGCCCUGGGAAGAUGGUUCCUGUGUUUCUAUUCCUGACCGCAGAUAGAUAGACUAGGAAGGGAUUGUUUGUUUUAUAUUAUUUUUUGCAUUUUUUAUAGUAGAUCAGAUUUUUUUUGUGGUAGAUAUGUAUACUGCACAUUCUGCCCUCUGCACUAAUGGCAGAAGAAUAGAGAAAUUAUCUGAGUUCGACACUGACAUUUUAUCAGUGAAUCUGAGGCACAGAGAAGGAAGAAAUGUAGGACAUAAAAUGAUCUUGUGUAAACCUCGGGCACAUGGUUACUGGUGAGGAGAGAGUUGCAGGGAACCUGCGAAAGAGAACAGAGAAGGCCAGCACCGGAGGCCAACCAGCCAGCCUGGGCUCGCGCCGUCAGGGGCUGGAGGAAGCGGGAAGCCUGACCGCGGUGUGAGGCCAUCCGGGGGCCUCGGAAAGGUUGGUGUCUCAAAGAGAGUGGGCUCUGAAGAUGGCAGCUCAGCUCAAGCUGCCUCCACAGGUUUUUACCUGAUGUUCUGGAGACCGGCCUCCCCCAUUUCUGGGAAAACCUCUGGCCCUAUUUGUCAUUCUUCCCACUCAGGGGAUGUCCAGGGCCAGCUCUCUGGGCACCUUGCUGGGAAGAGCCUAUCACCUCCACCGGAGGCUGGAACUGAGCAUUUUCAGAGAGGCUGGCAGUCUUUUCUUCCCGCAAAGUGAAAGCCGACCCCACCAGCCCGCCCCCCCCUCCCCCCCCAGCACCGUUUCCAUGGAAAUCAGGAUGGCUGUUCAAACAGCCUCAUUCCCAAGUAAUGGGAUGGUUCCCUUGCUGAUAGACUGACCUUCUCCAUACUGGACAGCUGGUGAGAGCCCCUGGGAGGGAUCGAGCAGAGGCUCUCUGCAUCCAAUCAGAGCCUUCACUUUAAAAAUCAUCUAAGAUUCUGCAUCUGUGUAUAUAUUUGUAUUUAUUUGUAUUUAUUUUUAUACAAUCCCAUUGGCAUGGUCCUUCACCCACUCUAUAAUUUGCACUUUUUAUUCCUACAUGUGUCGUACACAAAGCAAUAUUACAGGCAACCAGGAAAAUACGGACUUAUUUUUUAAAGCUUUUCUUCAGUGUUUGUCAACGAUUUCAAAAUGUCUUCCCCAAGAGCUUGUUUAAGAGCAUCUGCUACCGUGAGCAACAGAUUCAUUUGUACCCUGGGUUAAGGUAACAAAAGGCCUAGGUAAUUUUCUUUUCAUCAUAAAACACCUAAAAUAAAGUAUAUACAGGCAGUAUUCCCAAAGAAUUUGGUAGAUUUGGUGUUGGUGUGAGGACAGCCAUUACUGUCCCUUCCUUGGACAGUCUGAGGCUGUGAUCUGUUAGAUUGUACUCGAACUGGACCAGAGUUUGCUUUUUGAGCUUAUGAGAAACAAACACUAGUUAAUUUAAGUUUGAACUUGUAAAGUAUUAGAAUUUGUUGAGUGUCUUAUAAAUCGUCAUCACUUUUCCUGAUCUGUAUAAUUGACCGCAAGUGUUUGUUUUUACAAAAGGAAAAAAAAAAAGGAUUUUUAAUAAAGAGAAUUUGAAAGCUU